Molecule: ribosomal RNA, 800 nt
Filed under: uncultured Saprospiraceae bacterium
Lineage: Bacteria; Pseudomonadati; Bacteroidota; Saprospiria; Saprospirales; Saprospiraceae
Description: bacterial SSU rRNA
Rfam family: Bacterial small subunit ribosomal RNA
Source: RNAcentral
AGUUUGAUGAUGGCUCAGAAUGAACGCUAGCGGGAGGCUUAAUACAUGCAAGUCGAGCGAGAAGGCACCUUCGGGUGUUGGGCAGCGGCGAACGGGUGAGUAACGCGUACACAAUCUACCUUUCAGUUUGGGAUAGCCCUGGGAAACUGGGAUUAAUACCGAAUAGUAUCAAGUAUUGGCAUCAAAACUUGAUUAAAGUUCCGGCGCUGAAAGAUGAGUGUGCGUACUAUUAGCUAGUUGGUGAGGUAAUGGCUUACCAAGGCUACGAUAGUUAGGGGGCGUGAGAGCGUGACCCCCCACACGGGUACUGAGACACGGACCCGACUCCUACGGGAGGCAGCAGUAAGGAAUAUUGGACAAUGGGCGCAAGCCUGAUCCAGCCAUCCCGCGUGGAGGAUGACUGCCCUACGGGUUGUAAACUCCUUUUAUUAGAGAAGAAACCUCUCAAUUUAUUGAGAGCUGACGGUAUCUUAUGAAUAAGCACCGGCUAACUCCGUGCCAGCAGUCGCGGUAAUACGGAGGGUGCAAGCGUUAUCCGGAAUCACUGGGUUUAAAGGGUGCGUAGGUGGUUUAGUAAGUCAGAUGUGAAAGCCCGGCGCUUAACGUCGGAAUUGCAUUUGAUACUGCUAAACUUGAAUCAGGUUGAGGUGGGCGGAAUGUGGCAUGUAGCGGUGAAAUGCAUAGAUAUGCCAUAGAACACCAAUUGCGAAGGCAGCUCACUGGCCCUGAAUUGACACUGAGGCACGAAAGCGUGGGGAGCGAACAGGAUUAGAUACCCUGGUAGUCCACGCCCUAAACGA